Molecule: ribosomal RNA, 471 nt
Filed under: Triticum aestivum (bread wheat)
Lineage: Eukaryota; Viridiplantae; Streptophyta; Magnoliopsida; Poales; Poaceae
Description: partial small subunit ribosomal RNA
Source: RNAcentral
AUGUCCGUUUCGGAGUUCGCAAUGAGGUCAAGAUGGUGCCCAAGAUGCUUUCCUAACGCGGAGAGACUACAUAUUUUGAGUGAGAAAUGUGAUAAACCCGCUGGUAACCACCUGAGCCUCAAGUUCUGGGAAGAGUCCGGUCCCAUUGAGAAUGUUCUCUCGCGCAUCAACAUGAUGAGUAUCCGUGAGUUCAGAGGGGACCCAGGUGAGGUUGGCUUCCUGGAGUUCUUCUUCCGGAACGCGCGGGCGCUGAAGACCGCAUCUGUUUCCAUGGCCAAUCCAAGCUUCACACCGUUCUCGGCGGAGGAGGCGCACGCCAAAGUGAAAUACAGCUACAGGAACAAGGCGAGUAAAUCCUGCCAAACGGUUGUCCGUGGGAGUACCGGCCCUUCAGGAGGUGAAGUUUGGAGGUUCAAAGAUGGGGCAGAUUUUUCUUUCCAUGACCCCUUUUCCCAAUUGUUGGUCAGGUGA